GAUCGAGUCAGCCAGCGCCCGCAGCAAUUCCCCACGCCCCCUCCCCAUGCCCUCCACCUCAUCUCUUGACGCCGCCAGAGGGAGCUUCUCCCAUGCCCUCCUCAUCUCUUACCACCGGCCGGAGGGAGCUCCGCCGCUCUCCUUCAGUACACCGCUCCUCUUUCCCCAAGGCGACGAAAAUCACAAAACGGGGGCACAACAUAUGGCCAGGGGCUCCUACAUCGCUGCUUGGGUCAUCGGUGGCGGUGCUGGCAUUGAAGGAUGGGGCGGCAAUGCCAUUGUAGUCUUGGAAAAGCAGCUCGGGCAGAGGAAGAGGACGCGCCCGGCAUAGGAGGAGGUUGGGCGGGAGACGAUUGUUCUGCUGCAGGUACGUGAAUAGGGUGUCCAGGUUGACACGCUGGCCUCCUCUAGCAGCCCCUCUGCCCCGCGCCAGCUCUUGCCCCUCGCUUGCCACCUCCUGCGACACUGGUGUUCAGCUCGCAUGCGAGGUGUUCUAGCAAUUGACCAAACCGAGCCAAGCCUAAGCAUGAACGAUGGUCACGUACUUUUCUUCGUCAAGUAGUCCAGUACUGCACCAGAAGCGACGUCGGCCGAACAGGCGGAGAGGAAGAGGCCACAGAAGGAUUCUUGCAUCCAAAUGUGAGUUUCAGGUUCACGGUCUGGAUGGUGGAUUCGUUCUUCGAUGGCCAGACCAUCCAUGUCAAGCAGCGGCAUGAGAAGAGCUCCGGCGAGCUCAUCAUGUGCCGGUGCAUCUCACCUUCAAGCACAUGCUGCAGACUCCGACUGUUCUUUCUUUGCUGGAUGUUCGGCCCGCUGAUGCUGCAUGGAAGCAUUCAAAGUGAAAAAAAAUCUUCAUAUACCUUCCUGUAAGUGCAUCUCCCCUUCUUAAUUUGGGUUCUCUCGCUGUCCCGCUUACCUGUUCUGCUUCGCCCAUCAUUCAGAGUUAGGUUGGUUCAUGAGAUCAGAUAAUGUACUGCCAUUUAUUUUACCCAACUGCUACAUUCAAGAUCGAGGAGUACAAGUGUGUAUUGAUCUGAACACAAAGUGUUACAAUAGCUUAUCUCUGCAAGUGGAUAAGGUGGUCAUAUAUCAGCCUGCACUUUUGGACCAAAACACUUUUACAUGGGCUUCUUCGGAGGAAAAGGAAACCCCACCUGAACUUUUAGCUUUUUUUAUAUGUGAGAUCACUUGCUGAGUUUUCCCACAUGAUAGAUUUUCUUAUGAAUUCAUGGGAUUUUAGAUUUUAAUCAGGUCAUGCAGUUCUGAGUUUUAAUUCAUGUGCAAUAGUCAAAAUAUUGCAGGCUUGAACUGAGUAUUUACAUUUCAGUUAAAUUUUGUUCACCAAUGUCAGCCAAUGUGAGAGCAGAGUUUUCCUCCGAUUAUUCUAAAUUAUCCUUGGACUAUUCUGAAUCUGUAAAUGGAAGUUGAAUUCUGAAUACAUCUAUGCCAUCUAUAAAAUAAGAUGGCCUCGCGUGCCACUGUGCAACACCACGACGAUUAACAUCACCCAGUGAACACUGAACAAGUCUCGAAUCAAUAUGCAUUGGCGAUUUGUGGUUCUGUCCCGUUUUAGUAGGGUUGCAUCUCUUCCAUAAUCUUUUGGUAAUUUUGUAGAUUAGGAAGUUUAAUUCUUUUCCGAUGAUAGUUUAAUAGUAGUCAAGAUAUGCGAUCUGCAUGUCCAUUUUACUGUAUAUAUCUGUUUUUACACUUCUAUUAUAGGUGUGGGAGUAUUAUGCCGAGCCUCCCCAGCAAGGUUUUCAAUAUUAAGGGGGAAAUUUGAAGGUGUAUAAGGUAAAGAGACAGAGCUCUAGAUACAUUUACUAAUAAAUUUUCUUUAUACCUUGCAUUAUAAUUACAUAUGGGAAAUACAGAUGAGGUGCCUGAUGUCAGCUACAAUCACAGAUCUAAGAAUAUGUGUUCAUCUGGAAGCCUAUAGACAGAAAUAUGUGUUCAUCUGGAAGCCCAUAGACGCUAAACAAUAUUUUAGUGAUCUUGGAUGCUAUCACCUACAUAGACUAUUUUCCCGUAAUAGUGUGCUUCCAGUUUGUUUGGUUCAUGGACGGUCCGAUGGCAUUUCACCUAGCUCUUCCAGUUUGUUGGUUCAUGGACGGCCAGAUGGUAUCUCCCCUAGCUAACCUGCUUUAAAGUAUCCGGAUGCUAAACCGGCAAAUACUUCUGCAAUUUUCGCUAGCACUAUAUAAUACAUCAAUUGGUUUCUUAUUGUUGAAAUUUUAAGAUCUACAAAUUAGAAGAAUUGUCUUUUUUUAUAGGAUGCCUGUUUUGUGUUGCAAAAUUAGAAGUAUUUUCUAAUGUGGUGCAAAAUUUUGUGUUGUUCUUAUGGCCCAUGGUCCUACGUAAAGUAUUCCAAUACAUUUCCACAAAUCAGUUUUUUAUUUAUUUUUCACGUAACACAUGUUCAUGUCCAAUCAGGGAUGGGUUCAAGCGGUGCUGGGACAUGUAUAGAGAAGGAGCUCAUUAUAUAUGGAGACAAGUUUUGAAUUGGGGCGUGUUGCUUCCUACCUAUGGUGUAGACGUUAGAUGAGGGAUCUACAUAUAAGUAGAAUGUCACAUAUAUGGAUGUUGUAUCUUGGACGAUUCAUAGAAAAGAAGCCAAAGAACGAUUCAUCAGUUGCAUAUCUUUUUUACCUUCUACAUGUUAUUUUUUUCUCCAUAAGUUGGUCUGCACUUCAAAAAAGCUGAGAAUGUGACUAUAUGAGAAGCGUAGUUAAGUGUGUUCAAGAAGUAUAUGUAGGAAAAAAAUAGACUGCUGGGCGUAAAAACUCUCGAGCUGGCUCAAAGGUAUGCAUAUGCAGACCGUACAACAAAAUUUCAAAAACUAUAACAAAACAAACACAUAAUGAACCAAUGGGUGCAGCGUGCCGCCGCGCACAGUUGGCCGCGCAUGCUUCGGUGGAUCAACUUGAAUGGAUUGCGCGGCUUGUGUGGAUUGAUUUGAACAGAUUGGAUCGACUUGAAUAGAUUGGUUGGUGAUGAUAUGUCUUUUAGGACCCGUAGCGAUGGUUUGAAGAAGUAAAUUUCACUACCAUUACAUCAUAAAGACAAAUCCAGCUGGAGAACCAAUAUCUUUGGUCUAGGAAGAAAACAAGUGCUUCGCAAUUCCAGCACCCACUAUCACUACAUGUUGUAGAUCACUCAUGCAUGUACCAAUUAGAUGUAUCUUUUCUUGUAUGAGCUACUUUGCCACGAAUCAAGUCUUGGGACGACUUACCAAAUAU
RNA transcript from Triticum dicoccoides, 3236 nucleotides. RefSeq lists it as uncharacterized. The transcript is spliced from 3 exons. The record is from RefSeq and is a predicted model, not a curated record. Lineage: Eukaryota; Viridiplantae; Streptophyta; Magnoliopsida; Poales; Poaceae.